This 274-nucleotide unclassified non-coding RNA is filed under the name Hevea brasiliensis (rubber tree). The record is from RNAcentral. Lineage: Eukaryota; Viridiplantae; Streptophyta; Magnoliopsida; Malpighiales; Euphorbiaceae.
AUGAUAUGCUAGACUCGCACUCUAAAAUUGUGUGCCGAGCAGCUGAGGUUUGACUCGUUACUCAGAAUUUGAUUAGUUGGGCUGUCAAUACCUCAAAUGCCAACAAUUUGCACCCAUAACUGGUUUCUUAUGUGAUUGUUCUUGGCAUCUACCACCCCACCGUGAAACAAGCUAAUUCAGACCUUCUACAUACUGCUUAGAGACCAAAACUGAAUAGUUCCAUUAUUUGUUUCACUCGUUAUACCCAGUUUUCCGGUCUUCAACUUGCCGGUGA